Molecule: ribosomal RNA, 242 nt
Filed under: uncultured bacterium
Lineage: Bacteria
Description: partial 16S ribosomal RNA
Rfam family: Bacterial small subunit ribosomal RNA
Source: RNAcentral
UACGUAGGGUGCGAGCGUUAAUCGGAAUUACUGGGCGUAAAGCGUGCGCAGGCGGUUUUGUAAGCCAGGUGUGAAAUCCCCGGGCUCAACCUGGGAAUGGCAUUUGGGACUGCAAGGCUGGAGUGCGGCAGAGGAGACUGGAAUUCCUGGUGUAGCAGUGAAAUGCGUAGAUAUCAGGAGGAACACCGAUGGCGAAGGCAGGUCUCUGGGCUGACACUGACGCUCAUGCACGAAAGCGUGGG